AAGUCAUAACAAGGUUUCCGUAGGUGAACCUGCGGAAGGAUCAUUAGAGAAAAGCUAGCGCAAGCGAGCUAAACACACCGUGAACUAUUUUUUUACUUGUGUCAGAAUGUAUUACAAAAAAUGAAACAACUUUCAACAACGGAUCUCUUGGCUCUCGCAUCGAUGAAGAACGCAGCGAAAUGCGAUAAGUAAUGUGAAUUGCAGAAUUCAGUGAAUCAUCGAAUCUUUGAACGCACCUUGCGCCCUCUGGUAUUCCGGAGGGCAUGCCUGUUUGAGUGUCAUGAUCAAUCUCCAAUCAGAGUUUUCUGACUGGGGGAAUUGGGUGUUGCCUCUGGCUCGCCUUAAAUGCAUUAGCGUGGUGUAUAAGUUUCGCCGCUAGCUAUCCGAGAGCAAUCUCAACUGGGAAAGGGAGACCGAUUACCAUCUAGACCUCAAAUCAGGUAGGACUACCCGCUGAACUUA
This 462-nucleotide ribosomal RNA is filed under the name uncultured fungus. RNAcentral's name for it is "eukaryotic LSU rRNA". The stretch from base 128 to 281 matches the Rfam family "5.8S ribosomal RNA". The record is from RNAcentral. Lineage: Eukaryota; Fungi.